RNAcentral lists this ribosomal RNA (255 nucleotides) under uncultured bacterium. RNAcentral's name for it is "partial 16S ribosomal RNA". It matches the Rfam family "Bacterial small subunit ribosomal RNA", at positions 524 to 776 of the family's 1533-position model. The record is from RNAcentral.
UACAGAGGUCUCAAGCGUUGUUCGGAUUCAUUGGGCGUAAAGGGCGCGUAGGCUGCGGGGCAAGUCGGGUGUGAAAUCUCAGAGCUCAACUCUGAAACUGCACUCGAUACUGCUUUGCUUGAGGACUGGAGAGGAGAUUGGAAUUCACGGUGUAGCAGUGAAAUGCGUAGAUAUCGUGAGGAAGACCAGUGGCGAAGGCGGAUCUCUGGACAGUUCCUGACGCUGGAGGCGCGGAAGGCCAGGGGAGCAAACGGG